Molecule: ribosomal RNA, 326 nt
Filed under: Roseibium aggregatum
Lineage: Bacteria; Pseudomonadati; Pseudomonadota; Alphaproteobacteria; Hyphomicrobiales; Stappiaceae
Description: bacterial SSU rRNA
Rfam family: Bacterial small subunit ribosomal RNA
Source: RNAcentral
CGUCAGCUCGUGUCGUGAGAUGUUGGGUUAAGUCCCGCAACGAGCGCAACCCUCGCCCUUAGUUGCCAGCAAUCAGUUGGGCACUCUAGGGGGACUGCCGGUGAUAAGCCGAGAGGAAGGUGGGGAUGACGUCAAGUCCUCAUGGCCCUUACGGGCUGGGCUACACACGUGCUACAAUGGCGGUGACAGUGGGCAGCGAACUCGCGAGAGGGAGCUAAUCUCCAAAAGCCGUCUCAGUUCGGAUUGUUCUCUGCAACUCGAGAGCAUGAAGUUGGAAUCGCUAGUAAUCGCGUAACAGCAUGACGCGGUGAAUACGUUCCCGGGCC